RNAcentral lists this transfer RNA (72 nucleotides) under Ictidomys tridecemlineatus (thirteen-lined ground squirrel). RNAcentral's name for it is "Spermophilus tridecemlineatus (thirteen-lined ground squirrel) tRNA". It matches the Rfam family "tRNA". From Rfam's summary of the family: Transfer RNA (tRNA) molecules are approximately 80 nucleotides in length. Their secondary structure includes four short double-helical elements and three loops (D, anti-codon, and T loops). The record is from Rfam by way of RNAcentral. Lineage: Eukaryota; Metazoa; Chordata; Mammalia; Rodentia; Sciuridae.
GGGGUUGUGGCUCAGUAGUGGAGUACUUGCCUAGCAUGUAUGAGGCCCUGGGUUCAAUCCUCAGCACUGCUU